Long non-coding RNA from Esox lucius (northern pike), 584 nucleotides. The record is from Ensembl. NCBI's taxonomy places the organism in Eukaryota, Metazoa, Chordata, Actinopteri, Esociformes, Esocidae.
GCUCAGGCAUGUCAACGCUGGCAACACAUCUGGAUGAUACUGCAGAACAUGGUGCUGUGGAGAAAGAGCUAAAUUUGCUGGGAGUGGAGGAAAGGAGCGGGUCCAGUGUCAACACAAAAGCUCAGUCAGCGACCGUUAACACGCAUCCAGAUUCUCCCUUGAACAUGCUAGCUGACCAAGCGCUGGCACAGGGCCAGCUCUCCAAUAACUACAUUUCCCAAGAGCACCUUGCAGUGACUUCAGACUUGUCACUCCAGAACAUCUCUCCACCACCACAAAAGAAAAAGAAACCGUGUUCUGAAGUGUCAUCAGGAUUUGUUCCUGGACACAAACCCACUCUGGGAAAUAAGGCUGGUCUUCCUGGGAUCCCUCUGUUGCAUGCCCUGGGCUUUCCAAUCACUUCCUUUGGACCGGGAAUGCAGACCCAGCUGCAGCAUUCCAAAGAUGCCCCAGUCACCAGCCCUACAUCCGGAACGUUCCUCCAUGGACUCUCACAGUGGCAGCCAACUGGUGGGAGUGGGAUCAAACGCUGAGAGGAAAUUAAACUGAUCAAAUCCCUGGAACAGGAAUGGAGACCAGAAUCA